GUGCCAGCAGCCGCGGUAAUACGGAAGGUCCGGGCGUUAUCCGGAUUUAUUGGGUUUAAAGGGAGCGCAGGCCGAUGGUUAAGCGUGACGUGAAAUGUAGCCGCUCAACGGCUGAACUGCGUCGCGAACUGGCUGUCUUGAGUGAGUUCGAUGUGGGCGGAAUUCGUGGUGUAGCGGUGAAAUGCUUAGAUAUCACGAAGAACUCCGAUUGCGAAGGCAGCCCACAAGGCCUUUACUGACGCUAAAGCUCGAAGGUGCGGGUAUCGAACAGGAUUAGAUACCCUGGUAGUCCGCACGGUAAACGAUGGAUGCCCGCUGUUUGCGAUAUACUGUGAGCGGCCAAGAGAAAUCGUUAAGCAUCCCACCUGGGGAGUACGCCGGCAACGGUGAAACUCAAAGGAAUUGACGGGGGCCCGCACAAGCGGAGGAACAUGUGGUUUAAUUCGAUGAUACGCGAGGAACCUUACCCGGGCUUGAACUGCAGCGGAAGGAUACAGAGAUGUUGACGUCUUCGGGACCGCUGUGGAGGUGCUGCAUGGUUGUCGUCAGCUCGUGCCGUGAGGUGUCGGCUUAAGUGCCAUAACGAGCGCAACCCUUUUCAUCAGUUGCCAUCAGGUGAUGCUGGGCACUCUGGUGAUACUGCCACCGUAAGGUGUGAGGAAGGUGGGGAUGACGUCAAAUCAGCACGGCCCUUACGUCCGGGGCUACACACGUGUUACAAUGGGGCAUACAGAAGGCGGGACCAUGGCAACAUGGUUCAAAUCUUUAAAGUGCUCCUCAGUUCGGAUUGGGUCUGCAACCCGACCCCAUGAAGCUGGAUUCGCUAGUAAUCGCGCAUCAGCCAUGGCGCGGUGAAUACGUUCCCGGGCCUUGUACACACCGCCCGU
Molecule: ribosomal RNA, 887 nt
Filed under: uncultured rumen bacterium
Lineage: Bacteria
Description: bacterial SSU rRNA
Rfam family: Bacterial small subunit ribosomal RNA
Source: RNAcentral